This 27-nucleotide non-coding RNA is filed under the name Mus musculus (house mouse). The record is from RNAcentral. Lineage: Eukaryota; Metazoa; Chordata; Mammalia; Rodentia; Muridae.
UGUAUAAUUGAUAGUACAAGUGUGGAC